Gasterosteus aculeatus aculeatus (three-spined stickleback) is the source of this 2618-nucleotide long non-coding RNA. The record is from Ensembl. Lineage: Eukaryota; Metazoa; Chordata; Actinopteri; Perciformes; Gasterosteidae.
GGGGCGAGAAGCAGCCGGAACACAGUAACCUCCACGGCUGCUCGGUCUCCAUUUUGGAAAAAGGGUUGAGCGUAAUCUCAACGCGGCUCCAGUGACUUUCUGCUGAACCUCGUGGAGCUCAGAGGGACGAGGUCGGGUGUAUUUUUGUGCGUCUUGAAUGUCGCCAGCGGAGAAGGGAAAGCUAUUUUUAAAGUGAAGGUCUACAGAGACCAAAAAAAAAAAAAAAUGGUUCAAUUUUUUCUUUUUCUCAGUGCGAGGAGCCAAAGCUCGACGCGGCAGAAUAACAACAGUCUUCUUCUCUACUUCCUGCCAGGAAAUACGAGCAGAGAAGAAACAAACUGGCUGCUUCCAUCAUGAACAACACGGCUGCUUCCACACAAAAACACACAUCUCUCUCAAAAAUUAGUAUCACGUCCUGGUAGCAAAAAGUGAAGAAGCCAACAAGGAGCCAAAGAUAAAUGACUCAAUACUUCCUGUACAACGUUAGCAGCACGGUUGAGCUUGGUGGAGAUGAUCUGAGAAAAGCUGAACCACAUUAAAGCCAACAGGUUAUUGUAGUAUGUAAACAGACGGCUCCAGCUGUGCUGGUUCUACUCGUCCAGGUCCAGAAUCUUUGGAGGUUCUUCAGGUUCUGCUGGUUCUACUGGUUCCAGCCCCUGACCGGCCUCCUGGGCGAAGGAGAAGAGAGUUGUGUUACAAAGUUUACCUGUCGCUCAGGCCUCGCGGUCACCGAUCAAACACGAGCACACGUUUCUGUUAGAUAUCUAUAAAAUGUGACCGCUGAGUUCAAAUUAUAAACCGCUUCAGUCUCUGUUGAACCAGCUGGACUUUAUUUCCGAACCGAAUCCAUCUGCUCAGCCCGCUGGUUUGUUGCGGCGGGGUCGGGCUUUGGUGUAGCGAUCGGUGCACUCACCCCAAACGGCUCGCUGAAGGCUCUGGAGCCGCUGUACAGAGGGUUGGGGAUGGAGACCAACGUUGGCUUCUUGCUGCCGCCCGGCGAGCCGUCCUCGUCCUCGUCCUGUCACAGAGGAGACGAACAAAUCAGACUCGGUGGUCAAACAUCUCGCAGUGUUCGUCCAUUGAGCUCUUAAGGACUUUUUCUGCAAAGGCCAUUUGGAGAAGUUGGCCGCAGAAGAAGUUAAGACUUUAACAAACGAGCUAAGAACAGAGAUUCCGAUGCCGUUUUUCCCUAAUCAGAGUAGCAGAUCAAAGAAACCAGAUGCUGCAUGUUGGUCGUAGGUCCUCACACUGACACACGCAACGUUGGUGUGUCCAUUUGGACAUAAUCUCCUUUCUGUUACGCCCCCAAAAGUUAAUAGUAACCAUUAAGUUACUAUGAAUCUUAAUUUGUUGGGUGUUGAAGCUGAAACUCUUGUGCGUGUUUGUGCGUCUCACCCUAAAGUAGUGGAAGCGGAAGGCGUCCGUCUUGUGUUUGAAGACGUAGUAGCCGAGGGCGGCCAAUAUGCACGCCAGCAGCACCGACACCAAGAUGGCCGACACUGUGCCGCUGGAGUGGGCGUGGGCUCGUGAUGCAUGAUGAGGGAUCUGGAGAUGACGAGUAUGAGAAACGCACACAAGAAUAAGUACGUAUGCAGGAACAUCACGGUAAACCUUUGAACCCCAAAGCGCGAGCUUUUAUCCGUCCAGAUCUUAUUGCCAUAGCAACAGCCGCACAUGGAGACGUGAUCCUUUUUGUUUUUAUGACUUUUUUUAAUGACAAACUGCACUCUUGACAUUUUUAUGGCGCGCCGUAUGAAUUUCUUCAUGUUGCCAUGGAGACGUGACUGCUUCUAUUUCCCCAGCGAAGGAUGAAAAUUCCACCAUUUAAAAUGAAUAAUUAAUGUGAACAAUCCGGUGUGGAGAAACGAAACCGUUCCCCGCGAUGACUGACUGGCAGCCAUUUUGUUUUUCCUGAGGAAGAAGAAGGUGUUUUUACGUGAAGCUUCAGAUCCGAAGCUCAAAUAACAUGACACAUUAUAAGAUGGCCUUUAAAUAACAUAGUGAUGCUUUUAUGACCUUUUUAUGGCAUGACGUUUUUCAACGUGCCAUAACAUGACUCAUAGUACUGUACAGUCUGACAUACUGUACAAGGACAUAUUUUUUUACAUUCCGUACUAUGAUCUUUUAUGACAGUAAGAUGUUUUCCUCAAAGCACCGAAUUGACCCACGACUGUAAAGUAUCUUGCAGGUCACAGUACACUAGUAUACCAGAGAAAUGUUAAUGAAAAAAUAUUGCUACAGCGUGUCCAAUAAUGUCCUUUAAGCGUUGACAGGAAAAAGUCUGUGUAGCAUCUUAAAUAUCUUUUUAAUCAAAUGGCCGAAUAGAGAAGACAAACGUAUUGCUGGAGGUUUAGAGAAAACUGUAAAAUUGACUGUCCACAGGGUCAGUGAGGACGUUUGAAGGAGUAAAAUAAUUGUUAGCGAAAGGCUUUAGAUUAAUCCCCUGUGAUCUCGUCUUCAUCAUCUUCUCGUGUCCCACAUGGAGAAUAUUGAUUGGUUUGUGAUUUUUAUCUCAAACUCCACUGAUUCAAUCUUCGCUUCCUGAAAACUCUGCCAAUAAACCAAAAACGGAGCCAUCUGUUCCGUGCCCCCAGCUGUAACCGUUGCCUAGCAACAAC